Molecule: unclassified non-coding RNA, 2212 nt
Filed under: Hevea brasiliensis (rubber tree)
Lineage: Eukaryota; Viridiplantae; Streptophyta; Magnoliopsida; Malpighiales; Euphorbiaceae
Source: RNAcentral
GAGAGAGAGAGAGAGAGAAGAAAACUGGUGGUUUCCCUUCUUCUCGAUCGAUAGUUGGUUGCUGAGAAACUACAUUGGUUUACAGAAUCUUUGAACAGAAACAUUGAAUCCCACAAAAACAGAUGUCAGAUCAGUUUGCCGUUUUGCGUGUAAACUUGGAUUAGUUUUUCUGUUCGUCAGUCUUUUUCAUGGUAUGCCUAUUUGUUACAACCCUUUUACGCGAAAGAAAAUUCUCUCCUUUGAUUUCUCUUCGACAUUAAUUUUAACCACUGAUGAUUUGGUUGUUAUUUGAUUUAUUUUUCUUGUAUACUUUUUCUAUGCCACAAAAUCCAAUUUUUGGUAGACUACAAUGAAGCUUUAUAGAAUAUAACUAAAUGAGUUUUUCUGUUUCCCUUUUCUUUUCUUAACUAUAUGAGUUUUUCUUUUUCCCUUUUCUUUUCUUUCUUGUUCUUUAGCUUAAUUGGUAAAGUUAGAUUGAUUUGACUGCAGAUAGGAAUUGUAUAUCUGUUUGAGCAGUAGUAACAAUUGCCAGAGGAAUGAUCUUUUAAUUCUUGUAGAAGUACUUGGGUUGUAAGUCAUUGAACAGAAUUAUUCAUGUUGUAAAGGAAAUCAUAUUCACCUGUCAGUGAGAGAUACCAAAAUUUCUGAAUCACAGUCUAUUGUUGCAAUUUGUUGAUUGAUAAAAUAAAAGUUUGGUUUUUGAAGCGGCCCUUCCUGUCUUAUUGCUUCAAAAUUGUUCGAUAUGUUGGUUUGUUUAGGUUAAAGGAUCUGUUGUGCUGUGUGGCGAACCAUAAAGUUUUUGUUCAGACUAGAAAAAUAAAGAUCGGGAAAAUAUACAGUGCUUUUUGCUUAAUGGUUUUUAGAUUUGGUAAUUCUUAGUAAUUUGGGUGAUGCAGAUAUGUAUCAGGCGUGUUGAAGUUGUAGAGAAUCAACAUGCUUUCAGAAAAUAGAUAUGAUUCUUCCAAAAUAACUUUCAAAAGUAAGGCACUGGAUGUUGAAUGUGCUUCUUCUGAUGUUUUAAUCAAGCACAGAAGCAGGACAAUAUUGGCUGUUAGGGAUUUUCCUAUAGGUUGCGGUCCCUCCAAAAGAUUUUGCUCUGAAGUGUUAAAAAACUCUGUUCACUUUGAUGUGCCAGGCACAACAGAUGAUUCAAAGUCUAAAGAGAAGUUAAUUGAAUCAUUUGAUGAGAGGCAAGAGCUUGGAUUGGUGACAGAAGUUGAAUUGCUACACAAAUUUUUGCAAGAUUCUUUGGAUAAUGCAAGAUUGGUCAACCCAUUACAAAUUUCAGUUUCUGAAGCUACUAAAUUGCCAAACAAAGCUGUGCCUCGGAGAAGGAUUUCAGCUAUUCGAUCAUUCCCUCAGGGCUGUGGAAGAAUGACUCAACAAGUUGAUAAAGAAGUUGCCCCAGAAUCUGUUGCUUUAGAAACCAAUGGAUUAGGUCACUAUACACCAGAAGUUGGCAUAUUGUUAAGAAAGAAAGGAGAGGCAACUAGGAAGGAUGGUCAUCAAAAGAAUCUUGCAAGCUCUGGUAAAAUUAAUAUGUUUCAAUCAUAUUCAAAAUGCUUGGAGAUUUACCAGGGGAAACUGCAUGAGAAUGAUAUGGACAAAUGCCUUGAUGGAAAAUUAUCAGGCCAUAGCAGCAUUCAUCCAUCACAGGAAAUAGCCUCUACUCAUUUGGAGGUUCCUGGAAACCGGGUGAUAGUGCAGGCAUCGAUGGCUGCACCAAGUUGUCCUUGCAGAAAUGGGAAAUGGAGAUCCAGAUCAAAACUAACAAAUGGUGUGGCCAAAAGCAAAGAUAAGAAGCAUUAAUUUAGCACGAGGUUUUGACAGUUGCUACAAUAAUAAACCACUAUUUUUCUGUGGAAAUUUGUGGCCCGAACAUCACAGAGUUAACUCUACUAAAUGAUAGACUCUUAUGAGUUUGCCUGUAAAAUUUGCCUUCUAUGCAACUGCUUUCUCCAGGAAUGCACCAUCUAAUGUUGAACUGCUAAAACUAGAUUCUCUCAUAUCAGCAGCUGUGAAAUUGGCUCUUCUGUAUCAGCCAUUGAGAUUUAUAAGCACAAAAAUGCAUUAGCUCAUUUAGUCAUUUAUAAACUUCAGUCAAGUAGAAUUAACAUUUUUGGCACAAUCCAAAAUCAUUCCUUUUUUUUGUACUCUCUUUCUCUCUCUUUACAGUACUCAAUUGAAAAAUAUAUUGAUGCAAAUUUCCUUU